Lepisosteus oculatus (spotted gar) is the source of this 119-nucleotide ribosomal RNA. NCBI's taxonomy places the organism in Eukaryota, Metazoa, Chordata, Actinopteri, Semionotiformes, Lepisosteidae. The record is from Rfam.
GCCAGCAGCCAUAUCACCUUGCAACUCACAACUGGCAACCCACUGAAGCUAAGCAGGUGUGAGCCUGGUCAGUACCUGGACGGAAGACCGCCUGGGAAAAACUAAGGUUGCUGCUGGAA